UCAUGCAGAAUAUUUUAAAACUUUAAUAUACAGUGCUUCAUAAAUCAUUACUAAAAACACAGGUGGUAAAAAUCAAAACAAAUAAGUUACACUGUAGUAAAAAGCACUUGAGAUUCCUUUCUGUUUUCAUCAUUAGUGUGAACCUCAUAUGAAAAUAGCAUAGAAAGUAUGCAAACAUAGAAUUCCAUUCUUAUAUAGAUUUCUAAUCUUUAGCUAAAUAAACCUUUUGUCCCCUCAAAAUUCCCUUAACCGGCCAGAAGAAACAAGGAAAGCUCGUGGCCUCUACUUCACCCACAAGUCUGCUUUUAAGAAGCGGGAACACCUUUUUUCUGUUCAACAUCCCCCCUCCCUCCCCCGGCAUGAACCCAAAUAAAAAGAAAUAUAAAUUAACAUAUCAAACAUGUGAACAGUCUGCAAUUUCUUUUCUCCGCACUAACUGGUGUACAGUUAAACAUCUUACCUAUCAGCAGUCAGACACACACAGACACACGUUCUUUUAACACGGUGCCCCCCUGCCCCCCCCCCCCCCCCCCCCCCCCCACACACACACACACACACACACACGUGAACAGUUUGUGCAUAGACCCAGGUUUAACUUGUGGACUAACCAGUAAUUGGAGCCUUUUCUCCCCGCUCCCCCGAGCUCCCCCACUGUGGUUUGUCCUUUAAAGGAAAAUAACCCUUUAACCCAUUUGUUGCCAUGGCAACAGAAGCUGGCUCUGGGCUGAAGGGCUUAACACAGAUAUGCAGCGAUAGACAGAUCAAAACACACCGUCUCCGUGGUCCGAUUCGGCGCCUCGUAUCAGCAUAAAGUAAACAGAAAAUAGGCGACCACAGAUGCACGGCGUAGGGUUAAAACGAUUUCGAUAUCAGCCUUUGAUCAGCCACACUGUUAUACAAGUCAUUUAAAUAGCUUCCUUAUCACAGCUAUACCACUAACGUGCAUUUUAUUUUAUUUAUUUCUUUUGCACAUGUUUCCAUUUAAUUAUCAAAUGCAUUUGUAAGCUGAGUCACGCUGUCCUUUAGCUGCUGCUGCUGACGACGACGACCCCCUCCCCACAGCUAAGCUCUCAUUGGAGCGUGUUGGUGCCACAACAAUCCAUAUGCAGACUGAGACACUUUUCCAUGCUGACUAAAGAGAGACACUAUUCUUCUCUUCUGUCGCAUCAUGCUUCAAUUUAGAAACACCGAAUAUCAGCAACCAAGUGCAAGAACACGAGUUGAAUAACGGCACCGACAUUUGCCUGCAAAGAGAAAAAAAAUCAGGUACUGAAGUAGAGAAUGGGCCCUCCCUUUGUCCCUAUCUGUAUGUUUUAUAGUAAACAGUCUGUGUGAAGUGUUUAUAGUAAACUUAGGAGCAAACACUCGAGGGGAAUUUGUAUGACAGCGAUAAAACUCUGUAAAGUUCGAGCUUCCAUCUCUCUUAAUGCCUGUGUUUCAGCUUUUGCCAGUAAAUUAUUUACCAUCAUCAACAGUUUGUGGGGAGUGUAAAUAAUGAGCUGUGGCUGACAGGUUUAGCUAGAGGGCAUGUGUAAGAAAAAAUAAUAAUAAAAGAGCCAGAUUUAAGAAUCUGUGAGACAGACGAAGCAAAGAACUGCCUCUAAAAACCUACAAAAUAUGACAUUUUAGUCUGAACCAGCCACAAGAAGAAAUUUCCUUUUGUAUUCCGUCGGUAAUUAGAUGGAAGUAUGAGGAAAAAGCAUACUGAGGUAGAAAGUAUGUGCUAAAGGCCUACAAUAUUGGUUCAGUUAGCAGUGAGCAAAGUUUCUGCUGCUUCACCCAUUUGUUGAUGGAAGUAAAGAAUUUACUUACACAGGAUAACGACAAUUUUAGUUUGCUUGAGCCAGAUUGUACAAGCAAAAAUUUCCACUAUUAUCCAAACUAAUUUAAUUGAACUGUCUCGAGUUGGUCAUUGCCGUUUUCUGCUUCAAUGUGUGCAUCUGUAGAGACCUGCAGUUUCAACAGUCUGAGUCAAUGCUUCCCAUCAGUUACAGCGGUGCCAGUGAGGCAUCCGGAGCAGCUGGUUGUAAGCGUGAAGGAGAAGGUGGGAGGGGGCCGGGUGGGCUUGAACACUCAGGUAACAGGGGGUCAACUUGUUCUAUUGCACAUACAUCUCUGCCUUUUCUUCAUUUCAUGUUUCCAAAAGAAAUCUCACAGUUAUAAACAGGCAGCAAGUAGCAUUAUUGAGUUUUUUUGUUUAAAUUAAAAAAAAAAAAAUAAAAAACAGAAAAAAAAAAAAAAAAGAAAAAAAAAAGCUCUGGACAAAGAUGGGAAAAAGCGCUUAAUUAAACUGCAGCCAAUACCAG
Molecule: long non-coding RNA, 2306 nt
Organism: Astatotilapia calliptera (eastern happy)
Lineage: Eukaryota; Metazoa; Chordata; Actinopteri; Cichliformes; Cichlidae
Source: Ensembl